UUAUAGGCCAGUAAGCCUGAUUUCAGUACAGGGCAAGCUGGUUGAAACUACAAAAUUGUCAGAUACAUAGGUAAACAUAAUUUGUUGGGGAAUAAUCAACAUGGUUUUUGUAAAAGGUUAUCAUGCCUCACCAAUCUACUAGAAUUUUUUGAGGGGGUCAACAAGCACGUGGACGAGGGCGAUCCAGAGGAUAUAGUGUAUUUAGAUUUUCAGAAAGCCUUUGACAAGGUCCCUCCCCAAAGGCUCUUAAGCAAAGUAAGCAAUCAUGGGAUAAGAGGGAAAGUCCUUUCCUGGAUCAGUAACUGGUUAAAAGAUAGGAAACAAAGUGUAGGAAUUGUAGAACUGAUAAAUGAAAUUGUUUUUAAUUUAUUAAUGUAACUUCUGUUCACCAUCCACACUACACUUGCCUACACUGUAACUUCUGUUCCAUAUUGUAAUUCAAACCUCAUUUUAAAACACUCACUCCAUUUUGUAAAAGCUUCCUCCAACCUUCAUUUUUGCAAACCCUGCUGUAAUCUUAUUAGUUUAGUUUAGAUGUGUGAAUGAGGUAUGUAUGAAUGAUGGAAUCACCCUCCAGCCCCAGCCUGUCCUGAUGAGAUAAAGUUCAAAUACCAACGGCUGAAGACCUAGACAACAGCCCUAAACAAAGUAAGAAGCAUCCACCCUAAAAAGAAAAGGACAACAGAACAACAGAAGGAAGAUCAAAGCCAGGUCCAAGGCUGAAAGUCACGCCUGCAAUUGAUGGGUGAUCAAUCUAAACCCAGAGGCAGCGUGACACAGCAAGACCUAUAGACUUUGAAUCCAAACUAAAAGCCUAUAAAAAAGAAGGGUGAGAUGAGAAACUCUGGGUAACAUUCUGCUGCCAACAUGGAAGAACAUCGGUGCCUGCCCAACAGAGAUCCAGCUUGUCCUUGUGCCCGGCUUUCCUGGCCAGUUAGCUGCCACAAGCUACGAACCCAAGCUGCAAAAUCAAGCCAUGAACUUAAGCUAUCUUCAGGACUGGUAACUAUGCAGCAGCUGCAGAACACCUGAUGAAUGUGGGUGUGUAUGUGUGUGUGUAAUAGGUAUAAUGUGUGUGUAUAAGAAUUAAGAUAUUAGUUAUUAGUCAUAAAUUGUUAUCAUAAUAAAUGUGGCAUCUUUGCCUUGUCCCCUUUAAUAA
Molecule: long non-coding RNA, 1159 nt
Organism: Gopherus flavomarginatus (Mexican gopher tortoise)
Lineage: Eukaryota; Metazoa; Chordata; Testudines; Testudinidae
Exons: 2
Source: RefSeq, a predicted model, not a curated record